AUUGAACGCUGGCGGCAGGCCUAACACAUGCAAGUCGAACGAGUGGCGGACGGGUGUGUAAUGUCUGUGACACUGCCUGAUGGCUGGGGAUAAUUCCUGGAACCGGUAGCUAAUACCGCAUACCUUCAGCUGUUCCCUGAUGGGAUUAGCUUGUUGGUGGGGUAACGGCUCACCAAGGCGACGAUCCCUAGCUGGUCUGAGAGGAUGACCAGCCACACUGGAACUGAGACACGGUCCAGACUCCUACGGGAGGCAGCAGUGGGGAAUAUUGCACAAUGGGCGAAAGCCUGAUAGAGCCAUGCCGCGUGUAUGAAGAAGGCCUUCGGGUUGUAAAGUACUUUCAGCGGGGAGGCGUUACCCACACAGGAAGCACCGGCUAACUCCGUGCCAGCAGCCGCGGUAAUAC
RNAcentral lists this ribosomal RNA (406 nucleotides) under uncultured bacterium. RNAcentral's name for it is "partial 16S ribosomal RNA". It matches the Rfam family "Bacterial small subunit ribosomal RNA", at positions 30 to 526 of the family's 1533-position model. The record is from RNAcentral.